Long non-coding RNA from Balaenoptera ricei (Rice's whale), 1384 nucleotides. RefSeq lists it as uncharacterized. The transcript is spliced from 3 exons. NCBI's taxonomy places the organism in Eukaryota, Metazoa, Chordata, Mammalia, Artiodactyla, Balaenopteridae. The record is from RefSeq and is a predicted model, not a curated record.
CACAGAGUUAAGAAGACACUUUAAGAAGGUUUGAAGUUGACCUUUACCUGGAGGACGGCCGUAGCUAAUCAACAGCCAAUGUGCAAUGUUGACCUGCGGGGAAAUAAGAGACAACACGGAGAAGGAGGCGGGAUCAAGAUGGCAAAGUAGGAAGAUGCUGAACUUGCCACAUCCCAUGAACACAUCAAAGCUACAACUACAUAUGGAGCGACUCUCUCUGAGAACGACCUGAAGACUAGCAGAACAGAUGUUCUACAACCAAGGAUAUAAAGAAAGAACCACCGGGAGUCUGGUAGGAGGGGAGGAGAAAUCUAGUCAGGACCCACGUUCCUGGUAGGUGACCCAAAAGAAGAAAUAUCACAGCUUGGGGAUCCUCCCUAAGGAACAAGGGGUUUGAGCCCGACAUUGGGUAUCACAGCCCUGGGGUCUGGCAGCAGGAAGAAAAACCCCUUGACUGGUUUGAAAACCGGUGGGACUUACCUGAGAGCCGUAAGAAACCGAGACUCUGAUGUGAAGUAUGUGCAGACUUGCUUGCUCCCAAUCCCAGUACAGAAGCAGAAAAUUGAAAACACCUGGUGCUCUGGUUGCAUGUGAGGACCACCCCAGCAAGCCCCCUACCUGUAUCGGGCACCAGCUCCAACCCCUCAUGCUUUGGCCUCACUCCCUGCCAAAGCAGAGACUGCCAUCACACCACGGAGAAGGUGCAGUUCACUCCGGACUGCAGCUCAAGCCAUUUGACAACCUGGAGUCCUGGUCCCAAACCCAUCUAAGGAGAAUGCCAUCCAGUGGGGAGAAGCUGCAGCACACUCCUAACUAUGGCUUCAGGCCCUCAGUCCCCAGCCGUGUCCCCCAGCCAGGCACUGACCACCAUCAUGCCAGGGAGAAGCAGCAGCUCAAGUGGGGCUUAGGCGCCAUCCUUUAUGAGCCUGGUUCCACGCCCCAUCGAGACAGUAAGCGCCACUGCACCAUGUGAGAAGACACGGCUGCACUGGGUUUUGGCUCCAGCCACCACCAGCACUGACCCCUCCCCCCGCCAAGGCAGCAACUUCCGCUGCACCCAGGAAGAAGCCCUGGCUCACAACAGGCUCCAGCUCUGGCCCGUCAAGCCCCAGCCCUACCCUACACCAAGGCAAUGGCCAUCAGCGCACCCAUGCCCACUUCAUGUCCAGCUCUCUCACCAAGGUCCCUGGACACACGCAGACUGCAUAGGGAUGCUUGCACACAAGGACACGACUUCAAGACCGGAUAGGGGCAGCGAUGCACAGGAAACAGCUUUGCUGCGUGAUUCGCUAGCAGUGUCUCUUCCUUGCUUCCGGGCUCCGCUAAGAGCAGUGUGCUUCUCCUUCUUCUAGUUUCUCAGCCUCAAUAAAGAGCGGUAGCUUUA